Molecule: non-coding RNA, 72 nt
Organism: Ciona savignyi (Pacific transparent sea squirt)
Lineage: Eukaryota; Metazoa; Chordata; Ascidiacea; Phlebobranchia; Cionidae
Source: Rfam
GCUUCUAUAGCUCAUUGGCAAAGCACUGGUCUUGUAAACCAGGGGUUGUGAGUUCAAUCCUUACUGGAGGUA